GUGUCAGCAGCCGCGGUAAUACGGAGGAUGCGAGCGUUAUCCGGAUUUAUUGGGUUUAAAGGGUGCGUAGGCGGAUGAAUAAGUCAGUGGUGAAACCCUGCAGCUUAACUGUAGACUUGCCAUUGAUACUGUUUAUCUUGAGUUUGGUCAAGGCAGGCGGAAUGUGUAAUGUAGCGGUGAAAUGCUUAGAUAUUACACAGAACACCGAUUGCGAAGGCAGCUUGCUGGGCCGACACUGACGCUGAUGCACGAAAGCGUGGGGAUCGAACAGGAUUAGAUACCCUGGUAGUCCACGCCGUAAACGAUGAUCACUAGCUGUUGGCGAUACACAGUCAGCGGCAAAGCAAAAGCAUUAAGUGAUCCACCUGGGGAGUACGGCCGCAAGGCUGAAACUCAAAUGAAUUGACGGGG
RNAcentral lists this ribosomal RNA (411 nucleotides) under uncultured prokaryote. Its description in RNAcentral is "bacterial SSU rRNA". It matches the Rfam family "Bacterial small subunit ribosomal RNA", at positions 505 to 918 of the family's 1533-position model. The record is from RNAcentral.